UUUCCGUAGGUGAACCUGCGGAAGGAUCAUUAACACGAACAAAAUGUUCUAAAACCUUUUUGGAUCAACGCCAACCUUUGAAAAGGCGUACCUAGUUGUAUUUUUCUCCUUUUUCUAUUUUGUUUUUCUCAAACGCAACUUCUCAUGGAAAUUGACUAGAAUCGUGUGAUUUGUUCCAAUCCUAUCACCUCUUUCUCCUCUCCUCUCCUCUCCUCGUGAGAUGAGAUGGGAUGUGAGAUGGGAGAUGGGGGGUGGGUUUGGAACUAACCAUUCCUAACGCUAAAACAACUCUUAACAACGGAUAUCUUGGCUCUC
This 315-nucleotide unclassified non-coding RNA is filed under the name plant metagenome. Its description in RNAcentral is "partial contains small subunit ribosomal RNA, internal transcribed spacer 1, and 5.8S ribosomal RNA". The record is from RNAcentral.